Nothoprocta perdicaria is the source of this 557-nucleotide long non-coding RNA. RefSeq lists it as uncharacterized. NCBI's taxonomy places the organism in Eukaryota, Metazoa, Chordata, Aves, Tinamiformes, Tinamidae. The transcript is spliced from 4 exons. The record is from RefSeq and is a predicted model, not a curated record.
GGCAGCUGUGGGCACUCUCCAGCACAGAAGAGAGGGCAGGAUGGACAGCAUUCUUCAGCCACGCAAGCCUUUCCUGUACAUCCUUCUCCCAGCUUUAGUCGGAUUGAUUCAGAUGGAGAAAGCGAAUGUCUGCGCCGCUUGGCAUUUGCCCUGAACCAGACGUGACUAAUAUUUUCCAUGAAGACCCUUUUAAUAGAUUCCUUGUAGAAGGUUUGAUGUAGAGGUGUCAAUCAACACACCAUUCAUGUGACUGCCUCUUGCUUUGAGUGCCACUUCUCCGCAUUCGAAACUUCAAGAAACAUGAGAUGAAUUACUGCUCUGUCCCUCGUGGUGAACGAGCAUGAAUACUGGCGAGAGCCAGCAGAAGGGAGGGUGGUCAUUCAGCCAUAGAAGAAUUGGUCUUGAUAAUGAGCUACUGUAAAUCAGCAUCUGUUAUCACAACAACAGUACCGGGAAGGACCUGUGGGGAUCAUUACCUUUCCAAUAGAAGUCUUGCGUUAUUUGAAGUGGAUUUUGCUCUUAACUCAGAGCUCUGCAAGUCAAGCUUAAAAAAGAAA